GUUUAAAGGAGAAUUUAUGAUAUAGCCACAUUUUUAACAUUAACUUUAGAUGUCUCGAAGUAUCAUAAUAAAAACAGGUCUGUAGACAGCGAUUUGAGAAAUAGCUCUACUUAUAGUCUAGAUUGAAUACUUAAGCAAACAUUAAUUUUACUCAUCUCAAAAUGGAUCUUAUACUUUAGAUUGAGGGACUCUUGCAGCUUUGCCAGAUAAAAGAUGAAAUUUAAAGAUGUUUUAUGAUGUAAAGUAUCUUCAGUAGCAAAACAGUUCAGCAUCACCUAAAUGCUGAAUGGUUUGAAACGCACGUCUGGCCUAUUAAAUUUUUAGCCUGGUACUUUUGAUAACUAUUGAUGCACUAUUUGUCCAAUUAACAAUUAAUAUAGACGGGUCCAAACAAAUUUCUUUUGACAAUCAAACAUUUAAAACUAUCAAUCCAAAACUAAAUCAAACAUUAUAG
RNAcentral lists this long non-coding RNA (454 nucleotides) under Mytilus galloprovincialis (Mediterranean mussel). The record is from RNAcentral. Lineage: Eukaryota; Metazoa; Mollusca; Bivalvia; Mytilida; Mytilidae.